AUACAGAGGUGGCAAGCGUUGUUCGGAAUUACUGGGCGUAAAGGGCGCGUAGGCGGCCUUCUUAGUCAGACGUGAAAUCCCCGGGCUUAACUCGGGAACUGCGUCUGAUACUGGAAGGCUGGAGUUCGGGAGAGGAAUGUGGAAUUCCAGGUGUAGCGGUGAAAUGCGUAGAUAUCUGGAGGAACACCGGUGGCGAAGGCGGCAUUCUGGACCGAAACUGACGCUGAGGCGCGAAAGCCAGGGGAGCAAACGGGA
This 255-nucleotide ribosomal RNA is filed under the name uncultured prokaryote. Its description in RNAcentral is "partial 16S ribosomal RNA". It matches the Rfam family "Bacterial small subunit ribosomal RNA", at positions 523 to 777 of the family's 1533-position model. The record is from RNAcentral.